AUCUGGUUUAAGAGCUCUUUUAGAUGUGAUGUCGUAUUUUAUCUGUGUGAUUGGCAUGUACAUUACAUCUACUGAGUCUCUUACAAGAUUAGCACUGUAAAAAUCUGCUUCUAUAAUAAUGGGUGACUUGUAAUAGUUGAUAACAGUCUCGUCAAUAUAAAACUUAGCACAUACUGUACAAAGGUAUUGGAUGGGUACUACUUAAUAGUACAUUAGGAUAGGACUUACAGAUGUCCAUAUUUACUACAUUAUCUGGUAUAACAUCUGUUGAACACCAUUUUAAUGCCCUUGGAUGAAAGUCAUCCAACAUCUGUUUAGCAGUCUCAUUAUACGAUCAUCACGGUACCUUUGCUAUGAAACAUAUUUCAUGGGACAUGUUUUUACAUUUUUUGUAUUCAUAAUUCUUACAUUCUUUAUAUUCAUUGAAACAUAAUCAUUAACCAACUUCUUAUACUUCUACCUAUUGUUUCAAUAGUAUUGUCCAUUUCCUCACUCUUGUUCAUUAUUUUCUGUAUUUUGUAUUUGUACCUUGGUGGAGGUACAGGUGCUACUUCUGUUGCCUUUUCAAAUUCUGAUCCUAUUUGCUUAACACUUUUCAUACCUACCACAGGUUUUGGUCCUCUUGAUUGCUGCUUCAUCAACAGGAAGACCAGAAUUCACCUCACAGUCUAAUCCAGUUGCGAUUCCACCCAGCGGAAAGAGGGAUCCAUAGACCAUCUGAAAUUGCUGGUCUGCCAUCUUUCUUGAUCCUGCAUCGAAUACAAAACGAUUUUGUUCGUGGUAGCAGUCAGCAAGUUUUAAGCUGUAAUGUGAUACUUUGUUGAGCUGUUGGAUAUAAAGCUAGAGCUUGGGGACAUCAAUGAAUCCGUGAGCGUCGACAAGUUUGGGUACGGAUUCAUCAGCGUGGUGGCAGGGGACACAUCCUCGUUUUACAAUGUUGAAGAAUUCAAAAAUAAAAUCUUACAAUAAGACAUGAGAGGCAACAGAAGCACUUGUCUUUUAAGAAUAAAAAAUCGAAAAUAGAUAUAGAAAACCCUGAUUCCUACACACGACCACGUGUGUGCCUCCUUUUUCUGCUCUACGUUAAAUUGAAAGAAAACCUUAUGAUUAUGAAGAAAAUGUCGCAAAGAUAAUAAAAUCCCUACUUACCGCUCG
This is an unclassified non-coding RNA of Pocillopora damicornis (cauliflower coral), 1155 nucleotides long. Lineage: Eukaryota; Metazoa; Cnidaria; Anthozoa; Scleractinia; Pocilloporidae. The record is from RefSeq and is a predicted model, not a curated record.